UGGUAGAGCGCUCGCUUAGCAUGC
RNAcentral lists this non-coding RNA (24 nucleotides) under Cricetulus griseus (Chinese hamster). RNAcentral also lists the same sequence under 1 other name. Lineage: Eukaryota; Metazoa; Chordata; Mammalia; Rodentia; Cricetidae. The record is from RNAcentral.